RNAcentral lists this ribosomal RNA (253 nucleotides) under uncultured bacterium. RNAcentral's name for it is "partial 16S ribosomal RNA". It matches the Rfam family "Bacterial small subunit ribosomal RNA", at positions 524 to 776 of the family's 1533-position model. The record is from RNAcentral.
UACAGAGGGUGCAAGCGUUGCUCGGAAUUAUUGGGCGUAAAGGGUAUGUAGGUGGUCUCAUUUGUCUGGGGUGAAAUCCUUGGGCUUAACCCAAGAAGUGCCCCAGAAACGGUGAGACUGGAGUCCUGGAGAGGGUCGUGGAAUUCCCGGUGUAGCGGUGAAAUGCGUAGAUAUCGGAAGGAACACCUGUGGCGAAAGCGGCUCACUGGACCAUUACUGACGCUGAUGCACGAAAGCUAGGGGAGCAAACAGG